RNAcentral lists this ribosomal RNA (252 nucleotides) under uncultured bacterium. Its description in RNAcentral is "partial 16S ribosomal RNA". It matches the Rfam family "Bacterial small subunit ribosomal RNA", at positions 524 to 776 of the family's 1533-position model. The record is from RNAcentral.
UACGGAGGAUGCGAGCGUUAUCCGGAUUUAUUGGGUUUAAAGGGUGCGCAGGCGGCACGGCAAGCCGGCGGUCAAAUCGCGGGGCUCAACCCCGCCCAGCCGUCGGAACUGCCGGGCUAGAGUGGGCGAGAAGUGCGCGGAAUGCGUGGUGUAGCGGUGAAAUGUAUAGAUAUCACGCAGAACUCCGAUUGCGAAGGCAGCGCACCGGCGCCCUACUGACGCUCAGGCACGAAAGCGUGGGUAUCGAACAGG